Molecule: long non-coding RNA, 1077 nt
Filed under: Toxoplasma gondii VEG
Lineage: Eukaryota; Apicomplexa; Conoidasida; Eucoccidiorida; Sarcocystidae
Source: RNAcentral
CCGUGUUUUUGAUUUAACCUCGCUAUUUGUGUAAUAGCCCUCCACGGCCUCAAGUUACUUGCACAUUUCGUUACAGUAGGGUGAACUGUUGCUUUGAGCCUUUUUUCCCUCUUCGUGGUGACCGUCGCCUUUAAUUCUAAAUUAUUCCCUUGUCCCUGCUCACUAGUGGCCCAUCACGAGCAAUUUUCUGAUUCAUUCUUCACAGUCAUGCCUGCGUGUUCUUUCACGAUGACAGGAUAGCGCCUGCAGGCUACAGUGGACCGAAUUAGGCAGAUCCAUAGUGUGCACUGAGCUGUGACAUGGUUGAUAGAUGGAUGAGGCCGAAAACCGCAAGCCGCAUCGGACAAAUCUCUUCGGGAAAAUCACGUUUUCCACCGGAAAUGCGUGCAGCAGCGCAGUGCAUGCCCUCCACUUUGAUCUGCUCAGGCAUUGCAGACCGGAUAUCAAGACGGCAGAACAAGAACCAGUGUGUGUUUACCUUUUGCGUCCUUUUCUCAUAUUUCUGUUGGACUCUCCUUCAAUUGCCGAAUUUUGGCUUGGUCACUUUUCGUCAUACCCGGUAAGGAAGGGUCUUCACCCUGGAGGGAAGCGGCAAGUCUCUUGUCAGUUUGAUCGGUUGACCUCGAGAUCUCCGUGGUACGCAGACGACGUCGCUACAAUUUUGUUUUGGUUCCGUCUUUGCUGAUCUUGUCGGGUACUAGAAAGGGCUCCAUCUUCUUCUCUGGGCACAUGCUUCUGCGUCAAGCCGACAAGCUCUUUUAGUGAUUAAUCCGUAUCUACACCGCUGCACCUAGACGGAGACAUGUCAGAAUCCCAGCAGAAUCCGUCCCCGCAGUCUGUAUGACCCUGUGACUUGAGAACAUCAAUGAAUUCCUGGGCGUCGAUUCCCCUUGCCAUAGCCUGUUUCACUUUGCCUGCUGUUGAAGUGACUGAGAUAACGCCUCAUCUGUAAAACCAUAAGUGUGUCUAAACAACCUACCGAAGGCUCCCCGCUGUCACUAUGAGCAUCGCUGUCACCGUGUAGGAUCAAUCAAAUGUCUCUGGCGUAGCCGAACGCCCACUUUCGGAAUAUCCCAU